GCGCCGGUGGUGUAAAGGCGUAGAGCAUUCCCGCCCGGUCAGAGAGAGGUGCGGGUUCGAGUCCCGCCUGGCGCU
Molecule: non-coding RNA, 75 nt
Organism: Heligmosomoides polygyrus
Lineage: Eukaryota; Metazoa; Nematoda; Chromadorea; Rhabditida; Heligmosomidae
Source: Rfam